Molecule: ribosomal RNA, 401 nt
Filed under: uncultured eukaryote
Lineage: Eukaryota
Description: SSU rRNA
Rfam family: Eukaryotic small subunit ribosomal RNA
Source: RNAcentral
AGCUCCAAUAGCGUAUAUUAAAGUUGUUGCGGUUAAAAAGCUCGUAGUUGGAUUUCAGUUCUGGACUGACGGUUGCACCGCCAGGUGCACACCGCCACGCUCCGAACAAGAUUCUAAAAGCCGCUGGCUCGCACGGGGUGCUCUUCACCGAGUGCCCCGCGUGGCCGGCAGAGUUUACUUUGAAAAAAUUAGAGUGCUCAAAGCAGGCUACAAACUGACGGCCUGAAUGCCUAUGCAUGGAAUAAUGGAAUAGGAUCUCGGUUCUAUUUUGUUGGUUUUCUGAACCCGAGGUAAUGACUAAUAGGAACAGUCGGGGGCAUUCGUACUGCGACGCUAGAGGUGAAAUUCUUGGACCGUCGCAUGACGAACUACUGCGAAAGCAUUUGCCAAGGAUGUUUUCA